CCUACGGGAGGCAGCAGUAGGGAAUCUUUCACAAUGGGCGAAAGCCUGAUGGAGCAACGCCGCGUGCAGGAUGAAGGCCUUCGGGUUGUAAACUGCUUUUAUAAGCGAGAAAUAUGAUGGUAACUUAUGAAUAAGGAUCGGCUAACUACGUGCCAGCAGCCGCGGUCAUACGUAGGAUCCGAGCAUUAUCCGGAGUGACUGGGUGUAAAGAGUUGCGUAGGUGGCAUAAUAAGUAGCUAGUGAAAUCUGGUGGCUCAACCAUUCAGACUAUUAGCUAAACUGUUAAGCUCGAGACCGUUAGGGGUAACUGGAAUUUCUAGUGUAGGAGUGAAAUCCGUAGAUAUUAGAAGGAACACCAAUAGCGUAGGCAGGUUGCUGGGACGGUUCUGACACUAAGGCACGAAAGCGUAGGGAGCAAACGGGAUUAGACACCCGAGUAGUC
This 442-nucleotide ribosomal RNA is filed under the name uncultured bacterium. RNAcentral describes it as "partial 16S ribosomal RNA". It matches the Rfam family "Bacterial small subunit ribosomal RNA", at positions 338 to 795 of the family's 1533-position model. The record is from RNAcentral.